AACGAACGCUGGCGGCAUGCCUAACACAUGCAAGUCGAACGAGACCUUCGGGUCUAGUGGCGCACGGGUGCUUAACGCGUGGGAACCUGCCCUUAGGUUCGGAAUAACUCCCCGAAAGGGGUGCUAAUACCGGAUAAUGUCUUCGGACCAAAGAUCUAUCGCCUUUGGAUGGGCCCGCGUUGGAUUAGCGAGCUGGUAGGGUAAAAGCCUACCAAGGCGACGAUCCAUAGCUGGUCUGAGAGGAUGAUCAGGCACACUGGGACUGACAGACGGCCCAGACCCUUACCGGAGGACGCAGUGGGGAAUAUUGGACAACGGGCGAAAGACUGAGCCAGCAAUGCCGCGAGGGUGAUGAAGGAGUGAGGGUUGUAAAGCUCUUUUACACGGGCUGAUAAUGACGGUACCGGAAGAAUAAGCUCCGGCUAACUCCGUG
RNAcentral lists this ribosomal RNA (433 nucleotides) under uncultured bacterium. RNAcentral describes it as "partial 16S ribosomal RNA". It matches the Rfam family "Bacterial small subunit ribosomal RNA", at positions 29 to 507 of the family's 1533-position model. The record is from RNAcentral.